This is a long non-coding RNA of Mustela erminea (ermine), 629 nucleotides long. RefSeq lists it as uncharacterized. The record is from RefSeq and is a predicted model, not a curated record. NCBI's taxonomy places the organism in Eukaryota, Metazoa, Chordata, Mammalia, Carnivora, Mustelidae. The transcript has 3 exons.
GAUGCAGCCCUACCAGGAGGAACCAGGGGAUAUCUGGAGGAAAAUGGCUAUGACAUGUGGUUGACAGCCCGAGAGCCCUGUCUUGUCAAGGAACCCGAAGCAUAGAGAGAGCAGUUCGACUCCGGGUGUCGUCUCACUCUCCGCAUUCUAAAACAGACGCAGGAAGAUGGGAUGCUCGAAGCCCAGCAGCAUGAACGAUCACUCAGAUAUGCCUCCACCCCCACCCCACCCCACCCCACACUUUGCUGUGAGUUUCCUUGGUGGUUUCGGUGGCCUCACACAAGACUCUUCGCUGAACAAGGUUUUACCCUAGAAAUGCACUUAACACCUGAAGGUACGCUAGGAGAUGGAGAGUUUCUUAACACUCAAGAUGUCUGGAAGCUAUUUCCAGAGAGGGGCUAUGUGCCUGCUGGAGCAGAUGACAAGGAAGGGCCAAGCGGAGGAACAGAAUGAACCUCCAGGAGCUCAGAGAUGGAAAACCUCAGUGAGUGAGUGAGCGGAGUUCUGUGUAUUAACUGCAAAUACCUACUAAUUGUAUAACAAAAUAGGCCAUCCGCCUUUAGACUAUAUUCAAAAUAAUGUGUCAAAGAUGCUAACGUAUCAUUCAGACAAUACCCCCCCAUAACCUA